UGGGGAAUAUUGCACAAUGGGCGCAAGCCUGAUGCAGCCAUGCCGCGUGUAUGGAGAAGGCCUUCGGGUUGUAAAGUACUUUCAGCGGGGAGGAAGGGAGUAAAGUUAAUACCUUUGCUCAUUGACGUUACCCGCAGAAGAAGCACCGGCUAACUCCGUGCCAGCAGCCGCGGUAAUACGGAGGGUGCAAGCGUUAAUCGGAAUUACUGGGCGUAAAGCGCACGCAGGCGGUUUGUUAAGUCAGAUGUGAAAUCCCCGGGCUCAACCUGGGAACUGCAUCUGAUACUGGCAAGCUUGAGUCUCGUAGAGGGGGGUAGAAUUCCAGGUGUAGCGGUGAAAUGCGUAGAUAUAUGGAGGAACACCAGUGGCGAAGGCGGCUCUCUGGUCUGUAACUGACGCUGAGGCUCGAAAGCGUGGGGAGCAAACAGG
This 429-nucleotide ribosomal RNA is filed under the name Chloroflexota bacterium. RNAcentral's name for it is "Chloroflexi bacterium partial 16S ribosomal RNA". It matches the Rfam family "Bacterial small subunit ribosomal RNA", at positions 355 to 776 of the family's 1533-position model. The record is from RNAcentral. Lineage: Bacteria; Bacillati; Chloroflexota.